Long non-coding RNA from Hermetia illucens (black soldier fly), 282 nucleotides. RefSeq lists it as uncharacterized. The transcript is spliced from 2 exons. Lineage: Eukaryota; Metazoa; Arthropoda; Insecta; Diptera; Stratiomyidae. The record is from RefSeq and is a predicted model, not a curated record.
AAUUCGUGGAAUGAAGUGAGCGGCACCUUUCCCAUUUGCUGUUGGCGGUCGGCGUGCAGCACCGAGUGAUGGGAGUAACGGGUGACGACGUGACGUUUUGUCGCGCUCACUCUUGCAACAAGUAGAACGGCGGCGAUUAGUUCCUAGUUGAGAUGGGAGGCAUUGUGCCCCGGCCCGGGCUGAGGUGGCUGACAUUUUUAAGAUUAUACGCAUGCAACGCUUGUCCGCAAUGACGAUACAUGUUUACAUCCCAAUGAAUGCAGUAUUGCAAGUAAAACAGCG